Solanum tuberosum (potato) is the source of this 398-nucleotide long non-coding RNA. RefSeq lists it as uncharacterized. NCBI's taxonomy places the organism in Eukaryota, Viridiplantae, Streptophyta, Magnoliopsida, Solanales, Solanaceae. The record is from RefSeq and is a predicted model, not a curated record. The transcript has 2 exons.
UGCAUCAUUAUAGUUUACGUGUCUUCCAGAGGUAUCUUCAAUGGACACAUCAUUAGCUUCAUCUUUCAACUUUCUCCCUUCACCACUCUCUGCUUUGGUCGCUAAAAUCUCCUUUUGUUUCUCCCAUUCAUCUCAGUGUGAAGUUAAGGAUUUGCAGCUAUCUGUAUCAGAAUUUCAGCUACAUGUAUGUCUGUCGAACCGUGCAUUAGUUUUAUCUAUUUUUAUUGAGCUCGGUAAAGAAUGAUUUGAUUAAUUAAAGUGUCGAUACAAAUUUAUUCUAUUAUGUACAUUGAAUAAGCGACAAACAAUUUCUCCUGUCUUAGAGAUGUUUUUGUCAAGCAACAAGUGGGAUCACAGAAAAGGAAAAGAAGAAAAGAUAUCAAUACUGCAUAUUUAGA